This 204-nucleotide ribosomal RNA is filed under the name uncultured bacterium. Its description in RNAcentral is "partial 16S ribosomal RNA". It matches the Rfam family "Bacterial small subunit ribosomal RNA", at positions 1297 to 1500 of the family's 1533-position model. The record is from RNAcentral.
AUUGCAGGCUGCAACUCGCCUGCAUGAAGUCGGAAUUGCUAGUAAUCGUAGGUCAGCAUACUACGGUGAAUACGUUCCCGGGCCUUGUACACACCGCCCGUCACACCAUGGGAGCCGGAAAUGCCCGAAGUCAGUGACCCAACCGCAAGGAGGGAGCUGCCGAAGGUGGAGCUGGUAACUGGGGUGAAGUCGUAACAAGGUAAC